CCUACGGGGGGCAGCAGUGGGGAAUAUUGCGCAAUGGGGGCAACCCUGACGCAGCAACGCCGCGUGAUUGAAGAAGGCCUUCGGGUUGUAAAGCUCUUUAAUCGGGGACGAAUUUUGACGGUACCCGACGAAUAAGCUCCGGCUAACUACGUGCCAGCAGCCGCGGUAAUACGUAGGGAGCAAGCGUUAUCCGGAUUGACUGGGUGUAAAGGGCGUGUAGACGGGCAUGCAAGCCAGGAGUGAAAUCUGGGGGUGUAACCCCCAAACUGCUUUUGGAACUGCGUGGCUUGAGUGAGGGAGGGGCAGGCGGAAUUCCCAGUGUAGCGGUGAAAUGCGUAGAUAUUGGGAGGAACACCAGUGGCGAAGGCGGCCUGCUGGACAGUAACUGACGUUGAGGCGCGAAAGCGUGGGGAGCAAACAGGAUUAGAUACCCUGGUAGUC
RNAcentral lists this ribosomal RNA (441 nucleotides) under uncultured bacterium. RNAcentral describes it as "partial 16S ribosomal RNA". It matches the Rfam family "Bacterial small subunit ribosomal RNA", at positions 338 to 795 of the family's 1533-position model. The record is from RNAcentral.